UACGGAGGAUGCAAGCGUUAUCCGGAAUGAUUGGGCGUAAAGGGUCCGCAGGUGGCAGUGUAAGUCUGCUGUCAAAGAAUGAGGCUUAACCUUAUCAAGGCAGUGGAAACUACACAGCUAGAGUAUGGUAGGGGCAGAGGGAAUUCCUGGUGUAGCGGUGAAAUGCGUAGAGAUCAGGAAGAACAUCGGUGGCGAAGGCGCUCUGCUGGACCAUAACUGACACUCAGGGACGAAAGCUAGGGGAGCGAAUGGG
Molecule: ribosomal RNA, 253 nt
Filed under: uncultured bacterium
Lineage: Bacteria
Description: partial 16S ribosomal RNA
Rfam family: Bacterial small subunit ribosomal RNA
Source: RNAcentral